Molecule: long non-coding RNA, 1018 nt
Organism: Toxorhynchites rutilus septentrionalis
Lineage: Eukaryota; Metazoa; Arthropoda; Insecta; Diptera; Culicidae
Exons: 3
Source: RefSeq, a predicted model, not a curated record
UAAUUGCAAACACUACAACCGGAGUGGAGAUGAAGCUCUAAAACUAGCAAACAAAAACAAGUUCUUGAAGUUGAAUUUCAUUCCAACGAUGACGUGGUGGAAUUAUGGACCGUUCUGAAGGUUGUUCAGGAAUAGGACCCAGGAACACGCUACGGUGGAGAAAGACGGACGGAUGAGACAAUGCAACGCGGAAGGAGACAAGCAGUAAUCCACACCUAGUACCAGAGACCAACCAAUUGACAAGUCACAAGCGGAAGAUAAGCAGCCAGUCAAAAAGGCAAUUAAAUUCCAAGUGAAACCAGAGUGCGUGUGAAUCUAAGGCCAUCUACACACUAGGCAACCUAAGUUGGAAAGCAACUUAACGAAUCUGUCAAAAAAGUUGAGAACAUGUGUAAUCAAAUGGGAGCAUACACACUAGGCAACUGGCAACUUUGGUCGGACCAACUUUUUCGAUUCAACUCAGCAUGUCGAGUCGCGCGCGAUUUGUGUCGGCAACCUUUUCGUUCAAUUGCUGUUGACGUUUUGAUUUUUGCGUUCAUUGAAUUUCAAUAUCUGUCAGUGGUGAUGCAAAACAGUGUUUACAAUAUUGGCGCAUCUGUUUCUAUGAACGAACGAGAUGAAAUGCCAUCAAUAUGCAAGUUCUCUUGAUAUACCGUCCGGGAAGAGUGCUGAAUUGGUCAAGGAUGCGUAUAAUAUUGGAGAUUGAGCAAGAAGCACAGAAUCCGCUGGAUGUGUUUUUUCCAAGUUAACAGCAAUUGUUGCUGUCUGUUGUUAGCAGCGAGCCGAAAUAAGUAUGUUAGAUAGCCUAAGAUUGGAUAAUUCUGGUCAGAUUUCCCGGGAAACCGUUAUCAUCCCUGAUUCUCGAUUGUACCAUGUGCGAAGGUGCGGUCUGCGAAUAUGUGACCCCUGGGAGAAUUUUUCAUAUUUAGCGUUAGUGUAUACAUAAAUCAUUCUUUAGAAGAAUUGUUGAAAAUUUUUCUGUUUUCUUUAUAUAAUUCUUUUCGGCUGUAUUCUUAUU